RNAcentral lists this transfer RNA (83 nucleotides) under Candidatus Iainarchaeum sp. RNAcentral describes it as "tRNA-Ser". It matches the Rfam family "tRNA". From Rfam's summary of the family: Transfer RNA (tRNA) molecules are approximately 80 nucleotides in length. Their secondary structure includes four short double-helical elements and three loops (D, anti-codon, and T loops). Further hydrogen bonds mediate the characteristic L-shaped molecular structure. tRNAs have two regions of fundamental functional importance: the anti-codon, which is responsible for specific mRNA codon recognition, and the 3' end, to which the tRNAs corresponding amino acid is attached (by aminoacyl-tRNA synthetases). tRNAs cope with the degeneracy of the genetic code in two manners: having more than one tRNA (with a specific anti-codon) for a particular amino acid; and 'wobble' base-pairing, i.e. permitting non-standard base-pairing at the 3rd anti-codon position. The record is from RNAcentral. Lineage: Archaea; Nanobdellati; Candidatus Iainarchaeota; Candidatus Iainarchaeia; Candidatus Iainarchaeales; Candidatus Iainarchaeaceae.
GCGGGGGUGGCGGAGUGGUUAACGCGCAAGCCUGCUAAGCUUGUUCCCGCAAGGGAGCGCGAGUUCGAAUCUCGUCCCCCGCG